AAGAAACUGGCUGAGAAUAAAGAAGCUGAAUUUGUUAACCCUUCACCCCUUAAGAUGCAUCCAAAUGUUAUGUCUCAAGAAGCACAAAAUGUGAACCAAUUUUUGGACAAAAAUGAAGAGCAUAUAGUUUUACAAAAGUCAACACAUGAAGGUACAGAAAAUAACUGUCCAAGAGUAAAUACUGUGGAAGAACAAAUAGAUAAAAUGUACCUUGAUAUUUUGAAGGAAAAAAAUCUGUUAUUCCUUGAUAAUUACCCCAGGAUGACAAAAUACAUAAGACUUUUAGAUCUCGACUGAGUUCUGGAGAAGCAGGGGCUGGGACUGGUACACAGCUACCACACAGGAAGGCCAGAAGUGCCCGUCCUUGUUUAAAAGAACACCCCAGAGUGGAUUAUAUGCAUCAGUGAGGAGCUCAGACUAUGGCAAACCCAGCUCACCAUUCAAGACAUUUUCUACUCUUGAAAAGAGAACUUCAAAGAACAUUAUGAAAAGCAAAAACUUGAGAUCCAUCCCUGCCUCAAAUCAAGCUAGGAAAAAAGAUAAAGUAACUCCCAACAUUUCUGAAGUUUACUUUAUCCAAAUUCAUUCAUAUAACAUGUGUUUUGGGGCACCGACCUGGGUCUAGGCACUGUUGGACGCCCUCUAUGUACGUUGGUAAACAAGGCAGCGCCACCUCCCCUCCCCCAUCUCGUGGAGCUGUCAUCUGAUGAGGAGGGACAGACACUUAACAACAAGCAUACAAAUCAGUAAAUGAUGUUACAUGCUAAGGAGAAAUAGAAAGCAGAGCGAGAGUGUCGGUGGAGUCCAGCAGGUCACCACUUGAUAUAAGAUAGCGUCGGCCUCGGUGAGAGAGCCCUUUGAACGAAGACUUGUAGGAGGAAUUGGGAUUGGCUGUGUGGGUGUGUGUGGGAAGCAUAUUCCAGAAAAAUGAAGCAGUCAGUCCAAAAGUCCCAAAGAGGGAGGAAUGCCUGGCAUUUUGGGGGUCAACAUAGAAGCCCACAUGGCUGGGGCAGAGUGGACAGAGAGGGGAGGGGGAGGGGAGAUCGGGCAUCACAGGGACAGGCACGGUUGGCCUUUCUAGGGCAUUAAGCAGCCUUGGGCUUUCAUUCAGUGUGGAAAGGUGAGCGCCUGGGAAGUUGUGAGCAUGGCAGUGACUUCACCUGAUGUAUCCUUUAGACAGAUUUCUCGGGCUGAUGUCAUUGACCAUAUGCUCACAAAUAUAGACACACACCAUAGAGGCACAGGAAGAAGCACAGAGAUCAGUUAAAAGGGGAUUUGAGGAAUCUGGGCUGGGAGUGAUGGGGCCCGAUCCAGGGUGGUGGCAGUGGUGGUAAUGAGAAGCUAUUGGAUGGGGAUGUAUUUAGAAGAUAGAGUCAAAAGUCUAAAAGAGUGGUUUGGGGUUGUGAGAGAGGCGUCAUUGGUGAUGGCAGGGUAUGUGGCUUGAGCAGCUGGAAGAAUGUGGUUCCUCUCCAGCUGGGAUGGAGCGGGAGGCAGAGUGGGCUUGGGGGUGGAGGGAGAACCAGGAGUUGAGCUGAUGAAAUGCUAAUUUUGAGAUGCCUGUUCUGUGUGCAAGUGGAGAUGGCAAGGAGGUGGUUAGAUGGGAUUCUAGGGCUGAGAGGGAGGUGUGGACUGUAGGUAUCGAGUGUUGUUAAAAAUGAAUAUUUUUGAAGCCAUGGGUUGUUUUUUUCUUAAUUGCAGUGUAAUGUAUUUACAGUAUUGGGUUAGUUUAAGGAGUACAGCAAAAUGAAUCAAUUUUUUCGCAGAUUAUAUUCUGUUACAGGCUAUUACAAGACAUUGAAUAGACUUCCCUGUGCUGUACAGUAAGUCCUUGUUGCUUUACAAUUUUAUGUACAGUAGUUUGUGUCCAUUAAUCCUGUACCUUUAAUUUGUCCUCCCCCUCACCUCCCCUUGUUAACCACAAGUUUCUUUUCUGUCUGUGAGUCUUUCUGUUUUCAUAUAUGUUCAUUUGUAUUAUUUUUGAGAUUCCCCAUGCAAGUGAUCUAUAGUAUUUGUUUUUCUCCAUCUGACUUACUUCAUUAGAUGUAAUAUUCUCUGAAACUUGACAAAGAUUAUCAAGGGGGUGGGGAGGGUAUAGCUCAUAUGGUAGAGUGUAUGCUUAGCAUGCAUGAGAUCCUGGGUUCAAUCCCCGGUAUCUCCAUUUAAAAAA
This is a non-coding RNA of Vicugna pacos (alpaca), 2167 nucleotides long. The record is from RefSeq and is a predicted model, not a curated record. Lineage: Eukaryota; Metazoa; Chordata; Mammalia; Artiodactyla; Camelidae.